AGGUCGGGCGGAUAUCUUUGGGACGAUAUUCUGGAAUAGGCCGAACCAAAACCCUUUCUCAGAUGUUCACUCUGCUGGUCCCCAACAGCAGUGUG
This 95-nucleotide non-coding RNA is filed under the name unclassified sequences. The record is from Rfam.